AUUGAUUCAACAGUAGUAUAUGUGGCCUCAUAUAUGUAGCCUAAAAACGUUUUCCCAUAUCUAAUUGGUGAAAUAAGGUGAGUAUCAUGUCAUUGUGUCAAUAUGCUGUACUUUUUGUUUCAUGAAAAUUAUUCUAUUUAUACCAAACUAGUUUUUAAUGUAAAAUAUAUUUAGCUAAAACACAGAAAAUGAUACUGACAUAUUCAGUCUCAAGUUUGGUUUUUACUGUAUGGCAUUAUGGCAUUGUUAUUGUACCAGCUUGUUUACAGUUACAUUACAAAAUCCACAUUUUGCCUAUAAUAUUGCAUAUUAACUUUUUUGUCCACUUUCACUUGAUUUUCACUUGAGAGUUUUAUUUGCUCUCAUGAUCGUGAUAAAAAACGACCAAGUUUUUUAGAGGACGACCACAAUCAUUGCUCAUUGCUUGGAUCGCAUAAUCUGGUCCCUGUCAGCGUGUGUGAUGGGGAAGGGGUGAGCUGACAGUGAAGCCCAGCCACGGGGAAGGGGUGAGCUGGCAGUGAGGCCCAGCCAUGGGGAAGGGAUGAGCUGGAAGUGAGGCCCAGCCAUGGGGAAGGGGUGAGCUGGCAGUGAGGCCCAGCCAUGGGGAAGGGGUGAGCUGGCACUAGACAGAAGGCCUUAUGUAGGUGCAAUGAUCAGUGGGAAUGGAAAACAGGUAUAUGUGAUGAACAGGGACAGUCCGGGGUGAAGGUGAUUAGCCUGUACAGUCAUGCCUAGUAGGCCAGAGACGUAGUCCGUGAGCUGGUGCACCAGGGGGAUUUGUGACACAGCAGUCAAACCAUCUUUCUUUUCUGAUUGGAAGGUGUUGUCUCAGGAAACAAGACACCAUAAAACAGGUCAAACAUGAUCUUUAAUUAAGCAGGUUUUGCAUGAGCGCAGUUUCAAAUGUUCUUUUAAUAAUCUUAAUAAUAAUAAGUUUUAUAUCACUUUUGGUUUAAAAUCAAACAAUUGCUGUUUGGUUUAAGUGCAAACUGCCAGCUUUAAUUUCAUGUAAUUGUAUCCACAUUAGAUGAAUCAUUUAGAAAUUGCAGCAAGUUUUGAAUAAAGUGACACAAUUUUACGUUAUUUGGCUUCAAUUGUUCAUCCAUAAGAGAGCUUUCAUUGACGAGUCUUGAGUCUAGGCUUUGCAUUUGGAGUCUGAUGUCGGUGUCUUGAAACAUGAGGACCAAAAUAAAUGUCAGUCUAAGUAAACCUGUCAAUCUUGAAGUAAAUCUGAAUAAAUCAGACACAUUGCCAAGGCAUUAGAAAGUCCAAAAUCACAUAUGGUACAUUAAGAAGAAGAUAGUAAGCACUGGUGAGCUUAGUAAUGGCACAAAUAAUGAAGCCAAAAGAACUUGAACAUUCUACAGGUGGUUGGAACAGAUAUGUGAAGGUUUACAGUAUGCACAGGAGAAACACCAGCAAAACAUUAGAUGUGGCAGGACCCAAGGUAAUAUAUUUUUUGUAAUUGUUUUAUAAGUUUGUUAGGUGGUAACCAGUAGGGGGUGAAUGAUUAUGUGUAUUAUGUAUUGAAUUGUAUUCUACAUGUUGUUUAAGUUUCUAUAGUCAUGUGAGAAUAUGGUGAGAACACCUACUCGCUGAACCAUUCAAUUUAGUAGACCGGGAACACAGUAUAAAGGGCGCCAGUUUCCAGCUGCCUGUGUUGUUGGUUACGUCUCACUUCCUUGGUUGCUACCUAUCGGUAUGUACAAUUGAUGUUUGAAUAAAAAUCAGCAUGAUUUGGUAUACCACACCAUUGCUUUGGCCUCUUUGUUUACUGCAUCAUCCAGCCGCUAAAGGGUCAUUCUAACAGUAACUAAUGUUAUUCUGUCCAAAUACAUUUGUACUUUAACAUGGGGUAUAAUUGCAUGUCACUUUGGGGACAAAAAUGUAUACUAAAUUUGAGCGUCAAUACCCAAGAGGAUAGUAUUUGGCCAAAAUACCAUUGCUAAGGGCUUUUCUUAGGCACAAUGAAUGCACAUCACUUUGUGAUGCAUGAGACUUAAGGCUCACCUCUUUCUGCUAAACGGGCCGAGAAGAUAAAUAUCUGCAGAUCAGUGUCUGAUGAGAGACCUUUUCUUGUAAACAAGUUCCUCUUUCAUUGAAUAAGAUGAUGUUUACUGUAGUAGCUCUUAGGUCAAAAGGGUGAGCAAAACCACACUUAAAAAACCACAACUGAGCCAAAAAAGGGAUGUGGGCGACAUCUGAAAACUUUCCCAACAGAGAGAGAUCAGGGUGGUUACAAUGAGAGUUGUUAUUGCUCUCACGAUAGAGAGAAUAAAUGACCAAGUGUAUUGUUGUUUAAAUAAAAUAUGCAAUAUAAUAAUGUUUCAUGUAGAAAAGUAAAACUAAAUUAGUCAGUGCUGCAGCAAAAUGUGUGAUAAGCCAGAGACACAUCUUGUCCAGUUUGCUAGGUACCAUUCAUUGCAAUGGACCCCAUUCAGGUGCUGGAGACCCUUCUGCAGUGCAUGGGUCCAAUCUGCAGGGCAUGGAUCCCUUCUGCAGGGCAUGGAUCCCUUUUGCAGGGCACAGUCCCCUGAUGUAGUGCCUGAAUCCCUUCUGCAGGGCAUGGAUCCCUGCCCAAAGUCAGAUGACAACCAGGAACCACGGAGUCAUGUGCUUAUAGAGGAUGACCACAAUCAUUGCUCAUUGCUUGGAUCGCAUAAUCUGGUCCCUGUCAGCGUGUGUGAUGGGGAAGUGGUGAGCUGACAGUGAAGCCCAGCCACGGGGAAGGGGUGAGCUGGCAGUGAGGCCCAGCCAUGGGGAAGGGAUGAGCUGGCACUGAGGCCCAGCCAUGGGGAAGGGUUGAGCUGACGGUGAAGCCCAGCCAUGGGGAAGGGUUGAGCUGACGGUGAAGCCCAGCCAUGGGGAAGGGUUGAGCUGACGGUGAAGCCCAGCCAUGGGGAAGGGUUGAGCUGACGGUGAAGCCCAGCCAUGGGGAAGGGUUGAGCUGACGGUGAAGCCCAGCCAUGGGGAGGUGGGGAGCUGGCAGUUCAAUUAAAAUAUGUUGAACUGGUUCAAAUCGUUCACUCAUAAGUGUAAUGAUUGUUGUGGGAAAUACCUCUAGUGGACCCAAGCAACUAAACUCAGGGUGUAAUGCAGGUAUCAGGACUGAGGCAAGGCCGGGGGGGGUGAGGGCUGGGCUGGUAGGCGGGGUAGUAGGGUUGGCCAGAGGGGUAAGGCAGACAGGGCGGCGGGGAUGGCAGGCAGCAUGGGCAGAGCAGGUAGGCUGGCGGGCAGGCAGGAGGACGAGGUUGUAGGCAUGAUGUGGUGGAUCUCUGAACAGAGGAGAAUAACAUUAGCAAGGACAAUCACUCAAACAGGUUGACUCUGAAAUAAAGCGCAGAUCGGCCGCAAGCGUUACUAUCAGGUAGUGAAUAAGCUAAGAACUAUUAAGCAAAUUAGCAGUAAUUUACUUAACAGUAAAUUAGCUUAUUCACUCAGUAUAGCCUAGUGUACACUUUAUACAGUCGACAAGAACUCCUGGAAAUUGCACAGAAAGAGUUUUUGACAACUUCCAACUUCCACCGGAGAUUAAGAAGAUGCUCCAGGAGAUGCCAUUUGCAUCGCUGACUGGAAGUGUCUGGAGGUGGCAUCGAAAUCGUAACAAAGGCGUGGGAAGCGUGGAGGCAUCCCAGCUAGGCUAAUGCUAGCCCCCCAACAGCCUUCACUACCUAGCCUUUUCCUCGUUAACGUACAGUCACUGGUGAACAAAAUGGAUGAAAUACGACAGAAUCAUCUAACAAAAAUGUAUUUUGGAUUGCAGCAUCAUGAUUUUCUUGGAAAUGUGGCUUAACAACAACAUACUCAACAACGUAAUUGAGCUGGAAGGGCGCGAUGUCUUCAGAGCAGAUCGGACUGAAGUGGACUCCGGUAAGACCGGAGUAGGUAGGCUGGGCAUUUAUGUAAACAAAACAUGGUGUACAAACACUAACUUAACUGGAGUCACUGCUCAACCAGUCUGGAGUACCUGAUGAUUAGUUGCAGGCCUUUUUACUUGCCUCAGGACUUUACAUCAAUUGUUGGUACGGCAGUCUACAUACCCCCAGAUGCUAAUGCUACACUAGCAAUGAAUGAACUGCAUGCAGCUAUUAGCAAACAGCAGACAGAAGACCCGGAUGGGGUUUUUCUGAUUGCAGGGGAUUUCAACCAUUCAAAUCUGAAAAAUGUUUUUCCCAAAUUCCACCAAAAUGUCUCCUGCCCCACCAGAGGAGCCAAUACACUUACACAUUUAGCUUGGGUGUCUUAGGCAAACAGGACACAGAUGGACAACGCACACACAUACUGAGGAACUUCAAACCUGAAGACAUAAGGGCAAAUAUGAC
Molecule: long non-coding RNA, 4322 nt
Organism: Esox lucius (northern pike)
Lineage: Eukaryota; Metazoa; Chordata; Actinopteri; Esociformes; Esocidae
Source: Ensembl